CUUAACGAAAAGAGCUAUAUUCUGCUACGCCACAUCAGAAACUUAAAAUUUGAUGUUAUUCAGUUCACAGAACUUAAAAUGCACACUUAUCUCAGUUGGACUGUUCCUCUUGCUAACAUUCUCCAAUUGUAGUAUUCUGCAAACACUCAUGGUCAGUACAGAUGGUAUGCUGUUUCCUGUCCAAGCUACCUAGAAAUUUAUUUUCCCUUAUUUACUCACUGUUUUUCAUCUCAGGUGAUAUCAAGCCUGCAUAUAUUCUGUACCAGCAUGUAUCCUCUUCCAUCAAGCCAGAUAUAACUCACGACAUUAUGAAUUCC
This 317-nucleotide long non-coding RNA is filed under the name Coffea arabica (coffee). RNAcentral's name for it is "long non-coding RNA (CARA_LNC007686)". Lineage: Eukaryota; Viridiplantae; Streptophyta; Magnoliopsida; Gentianales; Rubiaceae. The record is from RNAcentral.